Molecule: non-coding RNA, 2261 nt
Organism: Pseudopodoces humilis (Tibetan ground-tit)
Lineage: Eukaryota; Metazoa; Chordata; Aves; Passeriformes; Paridae
Source: RefSeq, a predicted model, not a curated record
GGCAGCCGCCCACCCGCGCCGGCGCUGCGGGGCUCGCUGCGGGAGCGCCGGGCCGCGCCGAGAAGGUUACUGUUUAACCACUUAAAGGCAGGCGUUGUAGGUGAAGGUUAAUAGCAUUCGAAAAAUGACCUGAGGAGCUUCAUGCUGCUCCACCAUCAUCAAUUUCAUCUCUCAGAGCUCCUUGCGUUUCUCAGGAAGAAGUAAAGUCUCUGCCUUUGGUCUGCUGGCCUUAUGCCUCUCCCUCCACCCCACCCUCUCCAUAAUUUGGACUGCAAAUACUGAAACCUACUGAAGCUGGAGGUAGCCUUACUAGCUAGGAGGAGGAUUUUGGGUGGUCAAACAUGUUCUGACAAAGUUCCACAAGAUAAAUUACCCACCGCUUAGAUGACAAUGAAUGGUUUGUAACAUCAAAGUUUUGGGAGAUCAAGUAGCACAAAGAGAAGACGAAUACAAAAAGAAACUGCAGUAGAAGAGGUCAGAUGUUAUGAAAAUAGUUUGCUCUGGGCUUUUUGUUUUGUCUUUUUCUGUAUUUCAGAUAAAAUAAUGGAAUUCUUAAUCUACAUUCCUCACCUAAGGACACUUCCUAACAAGUCCUGUGCUUUUUUUUUCCUGUGUGCUUUUUUAAUUACCCUGAUAGCUAGUUCUGUUCUAGCAGCAGUGCUGAAGAAGUUUUCAGCUUGUAGGUAUGAUUUCUAACUGACAUGAUGUUGUAAUAAAGUUACAGGAAUAUCAGCUCCUGCUUAACCUGCAAACUAUAAUGUUUAAUGUCUUGUCCAUUUGAAAUAAAAUUAUUGAAUUCUUGAGUGUUUCUAUCUCUUCUCCCUGUGAAUGCUCUUUAAAAGCUUUAUUAUCAGUUCAUUUGUACUGUUAGGUUUGUUUCUCAUUUUCUUAUUUUUCAGUUAUUUUGGGGAAAAAAAAUUGCAGCUCAGUGGCAUUAGUAGGUGCCUUGCAUGUAGGUAGAAAAUGUGCUUAACAGUUCUUCCCCAUGGCUGUAUUUAUCUUGAGCUUAGUUAUGCCCGUGUUCACAUACUUGUUGGGCUUGAACCAAGCCCCUCGAGUUGAUAUGGUCAGAUAUAAGCUGCCCUGGAUGAAUUUCCCCAAGCCUUCACAUGUGAAGUCAAAUAUCUGUCAUGGAGAAUUUUCCUGAACAUGCUAAAAAGGAAACCUUUUCAGGCACUUUUAGACUGUUCAGUUGCACCAUUCUCGUUGGAACCAGAAGUAAUGACACUGGGUUCUUGUGCUGGGUCUCUAAACCCUAGCAUUAGAUCUGAUCUAUCCUAUGUAUGUGUGGUUGCAUCACCAAAUCUCUCAUCUUUUUAGUCUGAGAAAGCAUCUCAGCCUGUGCUGUCUCUGAGCCAUGUUCUGCUGCACUGAAAUUGCCAGUGCAAUGUAACAGUCUGCUGGUCUGCUUGUCAUCAUGAAAGACAGGCCAGCCUGGAAAAUACUGUCUUGUUAUUGGGAUGUGGGAAUUAGUCUUCCGAUGCCCUGCAACUUUCUUUCCAUAUUCUACAUAAGUAUUUCUUCAAAUUUUUCUUUCACUUUAUAAUUUUGGAGGAUCUGUGUUUUGCUAGCUGUACCUGUGAACUGAGUGCUCUUAGCAUAUGUUAGGUUGUUAAAUGACUGAAACAAGGACUUCCUGCUGAAGGCCUCUUCCUUGCCCCUAAUAGUACUGAUUGUUUUGGUGAAGUAGUUUUAGGAACAGUAAAAAAAAACAGGUGCAUUGUUCCUUUUUGUCACUGUACAGCCUCCCACUUUCUUCUGAGGGUGUGGUGAAUGAGGAGCAGCAAGACUGGCCUGCUUUCCUAGGACGAGAUUCAGAGUCAGUAUUUUUCUUUAGGUCAUGCAGAUUUAAAUUAAGAUAGUGGGGUCAAGAUAAGGUAAACUGAACUUUUAACUCUAGAAUUCUAAGCUUGGAAAUGGGUAACUGAGUUUUUGUUUUCUUCAUGUAUGCAGCAAGUAGACAAGCAUAUUUCAGAUUCUCUCAGAGGAUAAAAGGCAGUACUUACUUGUUAGCAACACAUGGUUAAAUUGAUGCUAUUUGUCUUCUGAAAUAAAAUUACAAAAUUUUUUUUUUUUUUGCAAUAUCAAGAAGGUGGGAUAAAGAAGACUGAGAGAUGCUGUGGAACUUGGGGACAAUAAUGUAUAGUGAAGUGUACUUAAAUGGGAGGGAUGUAGCCUGUCUUGGAGUUCAGCCACAUCAUCUACUGUCUGAUGGAAUUCUUUUCAAAUUGAUGGCUAACAAUAAAGCUGCUGCUUCUAGA